UGCAGGAUAAACUAUAGUUUCACGAUAAAGAAAUGCUGCUGUUUGUUUUUGCUCUGAUUAUCUCUGCCUGAUAAUAUUCUUUGUUGUUGUUUUAUUUUAUAUUUUUAUGUGUAGGAUUUAAACCAAUCUAAUACAAACAAGCACAGGACAUUUUGCUUGUAUGGUCAUAUUGUCCAAUGCAAAGUUUUGAUUGAUUUUGGAUCAAAUUCAAUUGACCUGUUUGUUGUCCUUCUCCUAAUGUUCCCCUUAGAGAAGAUAUUUAUUCAUCCUUAUUUCCCAAAGCAUCUCUCUGUUGGGUUUCCAACCAUAAAGCUAAUUCUUUCAUAGCGAGUUCACAUUGUGGAGUCAAUGCUCAGCAUUUCCACUUAUUUGUAAAGUAAACGAUAAACUGAGGAGCAACUCAGACUGAAGACGGGUAUUUAACUCCCGACCCGUUACUGUGAUGAUGGACUCACUGGCUCAGAUCUGCAUCUUGACUUUUAGCUUAACCUCUGCCUGCUGAAGUUAAACCAGUUUAUCCUAAUUAGCACACAAAGCUAACGUCGCUCUGGUUCUUCACCACAACGGUAGAAAUGUUGAAACCGACAUGUCAGAUCUCUCAUCAUGUUUUCUUUGUUGCUAAAUACCUGAUAAAGGCUUUCUGGUGGGCAGAGCAGCAUGUCGAUGUAUGGGCUGGAGGUUUGAACAGAUGAUGAUGAUGAUGAUGAUGAUGAUGAUGCUCCCAGUCACUUUCAGCCACUCACCAAAUCCUGCUUCUUCUUGAUCAUUCUUGACAUGCUGGUUUCAGAUUGUGGAGUCAAAUGACAGUUUCCACUGUCUCCACCCAACUGCUGUGCGCCUUACAGAGAAUCAAGCGCCCCAUCCAGUCGCUGUCAGACCAGAUCUCUAGGUUGCACUGCUGGUGAGAUUCACUUCAAAAGAAAAGAUGAAACAACGUGAAGCUGAAGUGGCUUUGGAGUAAAAAACCUGACGGAUCAUUAAGCUAAUUAUAACAGACUGGAGUUUGACCGUCCUCCAUUUUGGUGAAGGUGUGAAACUUCUGAGAGAGACUCUCCAUCCAUCGUCUACAGCCACCGAUCCUCUUCAGUCGAUCUGGUUCGGUUUGUGGGAGGAAGCCAGAUACCCAGAGAGAAGCCAUGACAGGACGGUCUGCAGAAAGACCGCAGGCUGGGAUCCGAACUCAGGACCUUCCAGUCUGUAAGGCAACAAUGCAACCCAACAAAAACAAAUAUUUCAUGUAAUUAUACAAACAGAAAAGCAGCAGCAUCAACCCCACAAUGUGCUUCAGGAAUUUUCAGUUGUCUAAGGAUGAAGAGGUAGAAUCCACCUUCCAGUCGAAUCCCAUUCAUCAUAAAUCCUAAUGAGGUCUGAACCGAGUCAGGCUGUUUGUUUAUCAGCUGUUUGCAGGCCUCCUUCUCCGGCUCGGUUUUCUGUGUGUAUGAAACGGCGGCCGUGCUUCCCACUGCGCCUCGCUGCUCUGUCACUACCUUCCUCAUUCACAUAGAUUAUUUUUCACUUUCAUACCUCAGAGUGAGCAGCCAGAUCUAAUAAUACCAUGGCCAAUUGAUGCCGGGGAAAUGUACCACUUCAUUGGGGAGAGGAAAAAACACACAAGAGUUAAAAAUACAAACCAUGUUCUCCAUCAGCAAAUGUCAGCAGUGGAACCUUCAUGCAUGAAACAGCAUUUGCUGCUUUAAAAGCCUGACAGUUUUCUGUCAUAUGGGAAGAUGGCAGAUGAGAACGUUCAUGAGAAAACAUGAAAACAUGCAUGAUGACUGGCAACCGUCUGCAGAAAUGAACAGAGGAAUAUGAGGAGUGCUCUGUUAGAGUAAAGGCCACCAUUUCAUCUGUCCGCUUUUUAAUUAGAAUUAAAUGUUUGCUUGACAUUAAA
This is a long non-coding RNA of Poecilia latipinna (sailfin molly), 1891 nucleotides long. RefSeq lists it as uncharacterized. NCBI's taxonomy places the organism in Eukaryota, Metazoa, Chordata, Actinopteri, Cyprinodontiformes, Poeciliidae. The transcript has 3 exons. The record is from RefSeq and is a predicted model, not a curated record.